GAUGAACGCUGGCGGCGUGCCUAAUACAUGCAAGUCGAGCGAACAGACGAGGCGCUUGCUCCUCUGACGUUAGCGGCGGACGGGUGAGUAACACGUGGAUAACCUCCCUAUAAGACUGGGAUAACUUCGGGAAACCGGAGCUAAUACCGGAUAAUAUAUUGAACCGCAUGGUUCAAUAGUGAAAGACGGUUUUGCUGUCACUUAUAGAUGGAUCCGCGCCGCAUUAGCUAGUUGGUAAGGUAACGGCUUACCAAGGCGACGAUGCGUAGCCGACCUGAGAGGGUGAUCGGCCACACUGGAACUGAGCCACGGUCCAGACUCCUACGGGAGGCAGCAGUAGGGAAUCUUCCGCAAUGGGCGAAAGCCUGACGGAGCGACGCCGCGUGAGUGAUGAAGGUCUUCGGAUCGUAAAACUCUGUUAUUAGGGAAGAACAAAUGUGUAAGUAACUAUGCACGUCUUGACGGUACCUAAUCAGAAAGCCACGGCUAACUACGUG
Molecule: ribosomal RNA, 497 nt
Filed under: uncultured bacterium
Lineage: Bacteria
Description: partial 16S ribosomal RNA
Rfam family: Bacterial small subunit ribosomal RNA
Source: RNAcentral